Long non-coding RNA from Ipomoea triloba (trilobed morning glory), 668 nucleotides. RefSeq lists it as uncharacterized. The record is from RefSeq and is a predicted model, not a curated record. NCBI's taxonomy places the organism in Eukaryota, Viridiplantae, Streptophyta, Magnoliopsida, Solanales, Convolvulaceae. The transcript is spliced from 3 exons.
CUCUGCCAUUUCAUUUCUUCUUCUCCCUUUCACCUUCCAGAAGAAUUCAGCGGUCUUCAAAGUAAAACACUCAUACGAUAUACAGGGGAUGAUCCGGAGCGACGUCAGCACCUAACAAUUUACUGAUCGGUGUUCGGCGGCAUCCAUCGGCGCAAACUCCUUUCCAGGUCUUUUUCUGGAUGCACAGUAUAGUCAGCUCCAGCAACUUUAGGAUGAAAUCAACCCCACUGUUGUAACCGAAAUUGUGGUUUUCUUCUUUGAUAGUUCUGAACAACUGCCGAAAUUGUGCAAACUGGUUUUAUAUUUCAAGAAAUUGGUGGUUCACAGAAGGUUUUUUUAUGCCAUAUACUUUGCCCUCCUUAAAAGUUAUUGGCACUGCAAAUGUUCACACCAAGCAAGUUUGAAUUGCUCCAUUCUGAAGGGCUCAAACGUGAGCUCCUUUCCUUUUGUUUGUUGUUUUCAGGCACUGCAAAGGUUCACACCAAGCAAGUUUGAAUUGCUCCAUUCUGAAGGGCUCAAACGUGAGCUAUGAAGCAGAAGCAGAGUUGUUAAUCAGCGGUGUGUUUGAGUGCCGCUAUGUAACUGUAUGUAUAUAUAUAUACCCAAAGAAGUAGCAUAGGUAAAAUCAAAUUAAUCAUCAUUCAUCACGCCCUGGCUGCUUUCGUGAA